This 251-nucleotide ribosomal RNA is filed under the name uncultured bacterium. RNAcentral describes it as "partial 16S ribosomal RNA". It matches the Rfam family "Bacterial small subunit ribosomal RNA", at positions 57 to 305 of the family's 1533-position model. The record is from RNAcentral.
GCAAGUCGAACGGUAGAGUUCCUUCGGGAACUUGAGAGUGGCGAACGGGUGAGUAACACGUAGAUGAUCUGCCUUGAAGUUGGGGAUAGCCCAUAGAAAUAUGGGGUAAUACCGAAUAAUAUCUUACGGUUUUGACUGUUUGAUGAAAGGGGCUUCGGCCUCGCUUUGAGAUGAGUCUGCGGCUGAUUAGCUAGUUGGUAGGGUAAUGGCUUACCAAGGCGACGAUCAGUAGCCGGCCUGAGAGGGUGACC